CUACGGGAGGCACCAAUGGGGAAUAUUGCACAAUGGGGGAAACCCUGAUGCAGCAACGCCGCGUGGAGGAUGACACAUUUCGGUGCGUAAACUCCUUUUAUAGGUCAAGAUAAUGACGGUAGCCUAUGAAUAAGCGCCGGCUAACUCCGUGCCAGCAGUCGCGGUAAUACGGAGGGCGCAAGCGUUACUCGGAAUCACUGGGCGUAAAGAGCAUGUAGGCGGGUUAAUAAGUCAGAAGUGAAAUCCAAUAGCUCAACUAUUGAACUGCUUUUGAAACUGUUAACCUAGAGUGUGGGAGAGGUAGAUGGAAUUUCUGGUGUAGGGGUAAAAUCCGUAGAGAUCAGAAGGAAUACCGAUUGCGAAGGCGAUCUACUGGAACAUUACUGACGCUGAGAUGCGAAAGCGUGGGGAGCAAACAGGAUUAGAUACCCCUGUAGUC
RNAcentral lists this ribosomal RNA (439 nucleotides) under uncultured bacterium. RNAcentral describes it as "partial 16S ribosomal RNA". It matches the Rfam family "Bacterial small subunit ribosomal RNA", at positions 339 to 795 of the family's 1533-position model. The record is from RNAcentral.